Long non-coding RNA from Pseudoliparis swirei, 670 nucleotides. RefSeq lists it as uncharacterized. The transcript is spliced from 2 exons. Lineage: Eukaryota; Metazoa; Chordata; Actinopteri; Perciformes; Liparidae. The record is from RefSeq and is a predicted model, not a curated record.
UGAAGGAAAGGAAUCAAGGAUUGUGCCAAACAAAAUCACACUUGGAUGAAGUCCUCAAAACUCUUAAUCCAGCCAGAGAUAACGAGAAUAGUCAUCACUCAGUUGUUCUACCCUCACACAUUAUCACCUUCACCCGGACCUGGUCUUUAUAUAAAUGACUCGCAUACACCUGUGAUGAGUCCUUUCCAUCUCCUGUCGGAAGCUUUACGAGAGCUGGCUGGGGAAGACCACAAUGCUGGGACAGCGGCCAGGCCCGGGCAGCUGGACAAUACCCCGUCACGCCGUUAUGCAAUGUCUGGCGGGACGAGACAAAGUGGACCGCGCUGGACACAAUAUCAGCUCGUCAGGUACAUCCUUUCUGCUGGAGGGGAAAUCAACACCUACCGAGUGUCCUUCUGCUGACCACACCAUUCCUGACAGAUGAAGGCGGGUGCUGAAUACAUCCAGACUACAAACCUACUUCUAGGAGGAGAGAAAAAACUGACUUGGGAGUCUGACUAACACAAGAAUGAAGCCUUUUGGAACUCCAAACUGUUUUUUUACAAUAUAUACACUGCGCUUUCCCAGAUUCCUUGCAUUAUAGUGUGGACGGUGAAUGCAAAUCUGCUUCAGAUGACAGCAGAUGCUUGGUCUAGUCCUGGAAUGUAAAAAUAAAAUCUUAUUUUCUGAA